This 446-nucleotide ribosomal RNA is filed under the name uncultured bacterium. RNAcentral's name for it is "bacterial SSU rRNA". It matches the Rfam family "Bacterial small subunit ribosomal RNA", at positions 330 to 792 of the family's 1533-position model. The record is from RNAcentral.
ACCAGACUCCUACGGGAGGCAGCAGUGGGGGAUAUUGCACAAUGGGGGAAACCCUGAUGCAGCGACGCCGCGUGUGGGAAGACGGUCCUCUGGAUUGUAAACCACUGUCCCCAGGGACGAAGAUGACGGUACCUGGGGAGGAAGCUCCGGCUAACUACGUGCCAGCAGCCGCGGUAAUACGUAGGGAGCGAGCGUUGUCCGGAAUUACUGGGUGUAAAGGGGGCGCAGACGGCAGCGCAAGCCAGGAGUGAAAGCCCGGGGCCCAACCCCGGGACUGCUCUUGGAACUGCGCGGCUGGAGUGCAGGAGGGGCAGGCGGAAUUCCUGGUGUAGCGGUGAAAUGCGUAGAUAUCAGGAGGAACACCGGUGGCGAAGGCGGCCUGCUGGACUGCGACUGACGUUGAGGCUCGAAAGCGUGGGGAGCGAACAGGAUUAGAUACCCCAGUA